AGUGGCUGGUGCAUCGCACAGGCAAACGAAGCAAGCAGGGGCAGUGCAAGGAAGAGAUACAGUGUUACCUGGCUUACUACAACUCCAUGCAGUCUAGAAGUUCUCUUGUUUCUUCAAUUUUUGAUAGAAAAGAGAAGUGCUGAACAAUAACCAAUUAAGAUGAGACAACACUUUCUGGUUCGAGCUUCACGGAUGAGGUUACUUCCUGUUCCAGCACCAUGGAUGACGCCACUUCCAGUCCCAGGCCCAAUUUCAUCACUUCAAUUUUUGGGCUUAUUGAUGACAUCAUUUCCAGCUCUGGCCCCAAUGACACUAUUUCUAGUUCCAGCCCUACUGAUGACAUCACUUCCUCCACUCUCCCUUAAAGCCGCCAUCUUUGUCACAAGCAAAUCAGUUCUUGUUCUAGACUCCAACCUGUACACUUCUGUACAAUUAUUCAUUUCGUUUUGCAGCCAGGAAAUAUUAUAAGAGUGGCUGCCCCAAACAUUUUGUGGCUUUUGUGCUGUUUGUGACAGCAUCUAUCUAUGAAUAAAAACAAUUCUUGUACAGCUUAAAAUCACACAAGGAAUACCUUAAUGGGCUUUAACAGGCCCUGAUAAAUGUUACAGCAACCUUGACCUCCUAAGAAGACAAGAAAAACACAAAAAAGACCCUCUUCCAGGUAAAUUGGGAGUGCAAUGGGUGUCAAAAUGAGGUAAAUAUAAUACACAGAACAGAAUACAAGUAAUCUUUCUCACAGAGCUAGAUCUGUCAUGGCCACCUCAGAAAUGC
Long non-coding RNA from Polypterus senegalus (gray bichir), 771 nucleotides. RefSeq lists it as uncharacterized. The transcript has 3 exons. Lineage: Eukaryota; Metazoa; Chordata; Cladistia; Polypteriformes; Polypteridae. The record is from RefSeq and is a predicted model, not a curated record.